Non-coding RNA from Neolamprologus brichardi, 327 nucleotides. Lineage: Eukaryota; Metazoa; Chordata; Actinopteri; Cichliformes; Cichlidae. The record is from RefSeq and is a predicted model, not a curated record.
AAGCGGCAGAGGUUGGACCGAAUAACUUCCUCAUUAACUGAUCCAGGGAUACUGUAGUGAUGCCCGCGAGCAAUAAGCUACCAACCCCCAACCGCUCAGCAAAUCUGUCGUUGAUGGUCGUGGCUGGGCUGUGCAGCGCCUAGGUGUCAGUGUGAGAAGCUGCAUGGGCGAAAAGCAGGGUGUUGCUGAUGAAACGCCAGUGUGCUCUGUCAGCUCGGACAGGAUAAAUAAAUAAUGGGAGCGCUGCUAGAAAUUCAAGCUCUGCUGACUCAGCCUGGGAUUACUUCAUGUGGACUAUAUCACUACCUAUUAAAAAAUGAGCCAUGA